RNAcentral lists this ribosomal RNA (404 nucleotides) under Fusobacteriota bacterium. RNAcentral's name for it is "Fusobacteria bacterium partial 16S ribosomal RNA". It matches the Rfam family "Bacterial small subunit ribosomal RNA", at positions 355 to 776 of the family's 1533-position model. Lineage: Bacteria; Fusobacteriati; Fusobacteriota. The record is from RNAcentral.
UGGGGAAUAUUGCACAAUGGAGGGAACUCUGAUGCAGCGACGUCGCGUGAGUGAUGAAGGAAUUCGUUUCGUAAAACUCUGUUCUAUGGGAAGAAAAGGACUGUACCAUAGGAGAAAGCUCCGGCUAAAUACGUGCCAGCAGCCGCGGUAAUACGUAUGGAGCGAGCGUUGUCCGGAAUUAUUGUGCGUAAAGGGUGCGCAGGCGGCUUUACAAGUUGGAUGUGAGAUAUUGUGGCUCAACCACAAACGUGCAUCCAAAACUGCAAAGCUUGAGUUAAGGAGAGGUAAGUGGAAUUCCUGGUGUGGCGGUGGAAUGCGUAGAUAUCAGAAGGAAUACCGGUGGCGAAGGCGACUAACAGGACCUAAACUGACGCUCAGGCACGAAAGCGUGGGGAGCAAACAGG